GCUGGCAUAGCUCAGUAGGUAGAGCGCGUCCUUGGUAAGGACGAGGUCACCGGUUCAAUCCCGGUUGUCAGCU
This 73-nucleotide transfer RNA is filed under the name Myxococcales bacterium. Its description in RNAcentral is "tRNA-Thr". It matches the Rfam family "tRNA". Rfam says of the family: Transfer RNA (tRNA) molecules are approximately 80 nucleotides in length. Their secondary structure includes four short double-helical elements and three loops (D, anti-codon, and T loops). Further hydrogen bonds mediate the characteristic L-shaped molecular structure. tRNAs have two regions of fundamental functional importance: the anti-codon, which is responsible for specific mRNA codon recognition, and the 3' end, to which the tRNAs corresponding amino acid is attached (by aminoacyl-tRNA synthetases). tRNAs cope with the degeneracy of the genetic code in two manners: having more than one tRNA (with a specific anti-codon) for a particular amino acid; and 'wobble' base-pairing, i.e. permitting non-standard base-pairing at the 3rd anti-codon position. Lineage: Bacteria; Pseudomonadati; Myxococcota; Myxococcia; Myxococcales. The record is from RNAcentral.